UUGAACGCUGGCGGCAUGCCUUACACAUGCAAGUCGAGCGGCAGCACGGGUGCUUGCACCUGGUGGCGAGUGGCGAACGGGUGAGUAAUACAUCGGAACAUGUCCUGUAGUGGGGGAUAGCCCGGCGAAAGCCGGAUUAAUACCGCAUACGAUCUACGGAUGAAAGCGGGGGACCUUCGGGCCUCGCGCUAUAGGGUUGGCCGAUGGCUGAUUAGCUAGUUGGUGGGGUAAAGGCCUACCAAGGCGACGAUCAGUAGCUGGUCUGAGAGGACGACCAGCCACACUGGGACUGAGACACGGCCCAGACUCCUACGGGAGGCAGCAGUGGGGAAUUUUGGACAAUGGGCGAAAGCCUGAUCCAGCAAUGCCGCGUGUGUGAAGAAGGCCUUCGGGUUGUAAAGCACUUUUGUCCGGAAAGAAAUCCUUGGCUCUAAUACAGUCGGGGGAUGACGGUACCGGAAGAAUAAGCACCGGCUAACUACGUGCCAGCAGCCGCGGUAAUACGUAGGGUGCGAGCGUUAAUCGGAAUUACUGGGCGUAAAGCGUGCGCAGGCGGUUUGCUAAGACCGAUGUGAAAUCCCCGGGCUCAACCUGGGAACUGCAUUGGUGACUGGCAGGCUAGAGUAUGGCAGAGGGGGGUAGAAUUCCACGUGUAGCAGUGAAAUGCGUAGAGAUGUGGAGGAAUACCGAUGGCGAAGGCAGCCCCCUGGGCCAAUACUGACGCUCAUGCACGAAAGCGUGGGGAGCAAACAGGAUUAGAUACCCUGGUAGUCCACGCCCUAAACGAUGUCAACUAGUUGUUGGGGAUUCAUUUCCUUAGUAACGUAGCUAACGCGUGAAGUUGACCGCCUGGGGAGUACGGUCGCAAGAUUAAAACUCAAAGGAAUUGACGGGGACCCGCACAAGCGGUGGAUGAUGUGGAUUAAUUCGAUGCAACGCGAAAAACCUUACCUACCCUUGACAUGGUCGGAAUCCCGCUGAGAGGUGGGAGUGCUCGAAAGAGAACCGGCGCACAGGUGCUGCAUGGCUGUCGGCAGCUCGUGUCGUGAGAUGUUGGGUUAAGUCCCGCAACGAGCGCAACCCUUGUCCUUAGUUGCUACGCAAGAGCACUCUAAGGAGACUGCCGGUGACAAACCGGAGGAAGGUGGGGAUGACGUCAAGUCCUCAUGGCCCUUAUGGGUAGGGCUUCACACGUCAUACAAUGGUCGGAACAGAGGGUUGCCAACCCGCGAGGGGGAGCUAAUCCCAGAAAACCGAUCGUAGUCCGGAUUGCACUCUGCAACUCGAGUGCAUGAAGCUGGAAUCGCUAGUAAUCGCGGACCAGCAUGCCGCGGUGAAUACGUUCCCGGGUCUUGUACACACCGCC
This 1366-nucleotide ribosomal RNA is filed under the name uncultured beta proteobacterium. Its description in RNAcentral is "bacterial SSU rRNA". It matches the Rfam family "Bacterial small subunit ribosomal RNA", at positions 29 to 1394 of the family's 1533-position model. Lineage: Bacteria; Pseudomonadati; Pseudomonadota; Betaproteobacteria. The record is from RNAcentral.